UACGUAGGUGGCAAGCGUUGUCCGGAUUUAUUGGGUUUAAAGGGUGCGUAGGCGGCUUUGUAAGUCAGUGGUGAAAUAUGGCAGCUUAACUGUCAGGGUGCCAUUGAUACUGCAGAGCUUGAGUACAGAUGAGGUAGGCGGAAUUGACGGUGUAGCGGUGAAAUGCGUAGAUAUCAGGAGGAACACCGGUGGCGAAGGCGGCUCUCUGGUCCACAACUGACGCUGAGGUGCGAAAGCUAGGGGAGCAAACAGG
This 253-nucleotide ribosomal RNA is filed under the name uncultured bacterium. RNAcentral describes it as "partial 16S ribosomal RNA". It matches the Rfam family "Bacterial small subunit ribosomal RNA", at positions 524 to 776 of the family's 1533-position model. The record is from RNAcentral.